GACGAACGCUGGCGGCGUGCCUAAUACAUGCGAGUAGAACGCUGAAGGAGGAGCUUGCUUCUCUGGAUGAGUUGCGAACGGGUGAGUAACGCGUAGGUAACCUGCCUGGUAGCGGGGGAUAACUAUUGGAAACGAUAGCUAAUACCGCAUAAUAGUAGAUGUUGCAUGACAUUUGCUUAAAAGGUGCAAUUGCAUCACUACCAGAUGGACCUGCGUUGUAUUAGCUAGUUGGUGGGGUAACGGCUCACCAAGGCGACGAUACAUAGCCGACCUGAGAGGGUGAUCGGCCACACUGGGACUGAGACACGGCCCAGACUCCUACGGGGGGCAGCAGUAGGGAAUCUUCGGAAAUGGACGGUAGUCUGACCGAGCAACGCCGCGCGAGUGAAGAAGGUUUUCGGAUCGUAAAGCUCUGUUGUAAGAGAAGAACGAGUGUGAGAGUGGAAAGUUCACACUGUGACGGUAUCUUACCAGAAAGGGACGGCUAACUACGUG
RNAcentral lists this ribosomal RNA (495 nucleotides) under uncultured bacterium. RNAcentral's name for it is "partial 16S ribosomal RNA". It matches the Rfam family "Bacterial small subunit ribosomal RNA", at positions 28 to 507 of the family's 1533-position model. The record is from RNAcentral.